This 253-nucleotide ribosomal RNA is filed under the name uncultured bacterium. RNAcentral's name for it is "partial 16S ribosomal RNA". It matches the Rfam family "Bacterial small subunit ribosomal RNA", at positions 524 to 776 of the family's 1533-position model. The record is from RNAcentral.
UACGAAGGGAGCUAGCGUUAUCCGGAUUCACUGGGUUUAAAGGGUGCGUAGGUGGGCUAGUAAGUCCGUGGUGAAAUCUCCGAGCUUAACUCGGAAACUGCCGUGGAUACUAUUAGUCUUGAAUAUCGUUGAGGUAAGCGGAAUAUGUCAUGUAGCGGUGAAAUGCUUAGAUAUGACAUAGAACACCGAUAGCGGAGGCAGCUUACUAAGCGAUUAUUGACACUGAGGCACGAAAGCGUGGGGAUCAAACAGG